UUCUUUUGCUUUCCCGACGAACCCACGAAACGGUAACCCGCCCACGGAAGCCAAUCAAAAACAAGCAAACUGGGCGGGAAAACCGCAUACUGUAUCUGGCUAUACAUCUGAACAGGCAGUUGGUGAGAAAAAGACGAACGACAACGACACGAGGGAAUCUUAAGUGGCUGAAAGCGACUGAUGUUAUUCAAGUCCCGCCCGAAUCCAGCGGCGUAGCACGGUGAGAGCACACGGAUUCAUGUUUGGAGAAACGCUUCAGGAAAUAUAAUAAAACUGUUGGAGAGGGCUAAAUAAUGAAGAAGGGGAACAGCAUUCAUCUGGAUAAACUCAUUGAAGACUUUAAUGUGUUAGAAAAGAAAGCUUUAGAACUUGAGGGAAAGAAUAAUUUGUUGGAAAUAAAGCUUGAAGAAGCCAGCAAUCUUUUGAAAUUUGGCCAGAAUAAAGAAUUAUCUUUGAAGAA
Long non-coding RNA from Erpetoichthys calabaricus (reedfish), 460 nucleotides. RefSeq lists it as uncharacterized. NCBI's taxonomy places the organism in Eukaryota, Metazoa, Chordata, Cladistia, Polypteriformes, Polypteridae. The transcript has 3 exons. The record is from RefSeq and is a predicted model, not a curated record.